Molecule: ribosomal RNA, 253 nt
Filed under: uncultured bacterium
Lineage: Bacteria
Description: partial 16S ribosomal RNA
Rfam family: Bacterial small subunit ribosomal RNA
Source: RNAcentral
GACGUAGGGAGCGAGCGUUGUCCGGAUUCAUUGGGCGUAAAGAGCGCGCAGGCGGCUUGGUAAGUCGGAUGUGAAAACCCGGAGCUCAACUCCGGGCGUGCAUCCGAAACUGCCCGGCUAGAGGUAGGUAGGGGAGAUCGGAAUUCCUGGUGUAGCGGUGGAAUGCGCAGAUAUCAGGAGGAACACCGGUGGCGAAGGCGGAUCUCUGGGCCUUACCUGACGCUCAGGCGCGAAAGCUAGGGGAGCAAACAGG